AUACGUAGGGGGCGAGCGUUGUCCGGAAUGAUUGGGCGUAAAGGGCGCGUAGGCGGCGCGGUAAGUCUGGAGUGAAAGUCCUGCUUUCAAGGUGGGAAUUGCUUUGGAUACUGCCGCGCUUGAGUGCAGGAGAGGUUAUCGGAAUUCCCGGUGUAGCGGUGAAAUGCGUAGAGAUCGGGAGGAACACCAGUGGCGAAGGCGGGUAACUGGACUGCAACUGACGCUGAGGCGCGAAAGUGUGGGGAGCAAACAGGAUUAGAUACCCUGGUAGUCCACACUGUAAACGAUGAAUGCUAGGUGUUGGAGACGCAAGUCUUCGGUGCCGCAGUUAACGCAUUAAGUGCUCCGCCUGGGGAGUACGCACGCAAGUGUAAAACUCAAAUGAAUUGACGGGG
Molecule: ribosomal RNA, 395 nt
Filed under: uncultured bacterium
Lineage: Bacteria
Description: partial 16S ribosomal RNA
Rfam family: Bacterial small subunit ribosomal RNA
Source: RNAcentral